GAAGCUUUAUUGUCAUUGUAUAUAAAAUAUACAACAAAACUAGACAUGUUGCUCCUGUUCAAUGCAAUAAAGAAUCAGAAAAACACAGUCAAACAAAUAAAUACUUCUCUGUGUUUGCAUAUGUAAGAAACAGCCAACCGAAGGAGGCAAGUAGCAAAAAUCAAUACUUUGGAAGAAUAAGAUGAAUUGAAAAGGAUUAGUAUUAUUAAACUGGUUUCUGUAAUCACUAAAGACAAAUAUUGCACACAGAUUAUUUUUUGUUGUUGUUCAAUGAUCUUUUGGCCCAAGGGAAGACACUGUCCUUGAGUCUGGUGGUGCGUGUUUUGAUGGACCUGUAGCACCUACCAGAGGGCAGCAGGUCAAACAAGUGGUGUCUCUGAGGAUAUUUUGGGCUCUGGAGAGGCAGAGGGAUCUGGAAAUGGCUUCCAGGUGUCACGCACGUACAAGGUAUGGACCGGGGAAGCAGAGGCAGGAAUUGGGGAACACAGGGUUUAAUCGAAAGGUAGAGACAAGCAGGGCAACAGAACAGGCAACAAACUCAAAAUGACGUUGAUGACCGGACUGGGGAAACCUACUCAAACGCAGACGUAAAUACAUCAGACUAAUUCACAAUGAGAAACAGCUGGUAACAUGGGAAUUCCACACAAGGUAGCGAGAGGGGCGUGGCACACAGGAGGAUCGGACAAGCAGGACAUGAGACCAGGGAUGACAGAGAGCAGCUGAUGGUUUUUUGGGCAGAGUUCCUAACCCUCUAGAGGACUGUCCUCUCUGCAGAUGAGCCCCCGGCAUACCACAGUGUAAUGUAGAACACCAGGAUGCAUCUGAUGGCAGAGCAAUCAAAGGCCACAAGCAGCUUCUGAUCCAGCUUGUUUUUCCUGAGUACUCUGAGAAAAUGGAGUCGCUGUUGUGCCUUCUUAGCAAGUGUCAAGGUGCUGGCAGACUAGGAGAACUUCUCAGAGAUGUCUAUCCUCAGGAAUUUGAUGCAAUGGUCCCUUUCCACAGAGACUUCAUUGAUGUAAAGUGGGGAAUGAUCACCUCUGUGCUUUCUGAGGUCAAUGACGACUUCCUUUGUUUUUGUGGUAUUUAGCACCAGGUUGUUUGUUGAACUCCACCCUGUCAGUUUCUGAACCUCAUCUCUGUAGGCUGACUCAUCACAUCCUGAGAUGAUCACGAUAACCAUGUUGUUGUCCAUGAAUUUGAUUAUGUUAUUUGUGGGAUGGGUGGGAGUGCAGUCACAGGUAUACAGGGCAUAGAGUAGUGUGCUUGGCACACAGCCUUGUGGAGAGCCAGUGCUAAGUGUGAAGGAGGAGGAGAAAUAGGAGCCACAUUUAAGGGACUGGGGCCAGUGUGUGAGAAAGCUUUUUACCCAGGCACAGGUUGUGGGGGGGUUAGAUCUAGCAGUUUUCUUGCAUACAGUAGCUUCCGGGGUGAUCAAGGUGGGUCAGCACGGUAUGGAGCGCUAUGUUGAUGGCAUCAUCAGUGGGCUGGUUUGAUCUGUAGACAAACUGGUGGGGAUUGAAGGAAGGAGGGAGGCUGGUCUUGAUGUGAUGUGCAACCAGCCCCUCAACGUACUUCAUCACCACUGAAGUGAGAGCGAUUAGCCUGUAAUCAUUGAGGCAGGAUACGUCAGGCUUUUUUGGACAGGGAUGAUAGUGGAUGACCUCAAACAGGGAGGGAUGGUUGGUUGUGAUAAGGAGAGAUCUUGGUGAGGAUGCCAGAGAGCUGGGAAAGACAUGCUUUGAGUAUUUUGUCUGAUCCUCUGUCAGGACCAGUAGCUUUCCUCCGGUUGACUUGACUGAGUGCUCAUCUCACUUAAUGUUCCUGCAGAGUGAGUGUAUGAGUGCUGGAGGCUGGGGGGGCAGUGUGACUGUGUCUGACCUGUGUGGCUCAAAGUGAGCAAAGUAGCUGUUUAGCUCCUCUGCUCAUGGGGCGUCUGCAUGAACAGUAGCGGUGUUGUUGCCCGUGAAGUUUGUGAUCUGCAUAUUUCAGUCCACUUUACACAGGACAACAGAUUAGAGGUGUUUUUUUCAUACACUGUACUCUUACUCUUGGUUUGGUAGCUGAUUGAGUUAUAAUAAUCGUAUAAUAGAAAUUAUCAAGUAGUUUGUGUUUAUUGGUUGACGUACAGUAUGAGUUACUGUAAUAAAUUGAAAUGUAACCCAUUUUAGGAAAAUAAACCAAAAAAAAAAUAAUAAUAAUAUUGUCUCAAUUAAUAAAAAAAAAGAUAAAAUAACAAUAAAGUAGUAAAUUACGGUGAAGUACUGUACAUCAUCAGAAUUUAUUUAAAAAGCUCAGGCAUGCGCAGAGAACUGCUCAACUAUACUUGGCGCGUUUUACGGCAGUUAUUUUGUGGACAUGCCAUAACAAGUUUAGGUGCAGCCGGACGUCAUCUCAGCAGUUGUGCUCGCUGUUGUCAUCAUACCAGUGACUGUGGUACUUGGCACACUAAUUCGUACAGUUUGUACUAAAGGCCAUGAUGAAAAAAGCCUUGAAGAUGACAGAAAUAUGCUCGUAGAGGAGAUGAAGAAACAACAUCAAAUGGGUCUCAUCUCAAAAUUAAUGGAUCGAACAUUUCCAUUGCGCAAGAGAUAGUGAGAAACAAGGCUGCUGUCCAUGACAUGGCUGAACGUUGGCCAGCACUUUUCAUGGAGAGACAGGUAUUGCUGAGUUUAACAGAAUUGCCAGUAAGAAUCUUGAAGGAGAUUUCUUUGAGGCUCUGGACCAAUAAACACCAAGCUUCAUCCAACUGUUCAGUUGCAAAAAAGGAACUGUUGGAAAGAAACUGACAGAACUAAAGCAGCAAAUUGACUUGAUGACACCAGAUGUGACUGCACAGUGUACAUUUGUCCUCAAAGGCCUCCCCAUUGUACUAGGCGAUGACUCUAGCGACUUCUACGUGUCAUGCUUCGUAAGUUCUCUACUUGUCUACUAAACUUUGCAUUUGUCCAAAACUAACAGUAGUAAAAUAUUAAUUUUCCUAAAUGCAUUAAAUGCAUUACUUUUAACUUGCAACAAUUACAUAUGCCCUGUAUGAUGUACAACUACCAACAUUAUACCUGGACAAAGAGGGUAAAAUAAAUAAUUAAGGUACUUGGCAUGCAACUAAAACAACUUAAACUUUUAUUACACCGGUAUUACACUGUGUCAGCCCAGCUUUCAUUGUUAAAGCACUGAGAUAACUACUUUUGUUGUACCAUAGGUUCAGUAGUCACUUCCAGUGAGAGCAGAAAUGGUAAAACAACGGUCUGGUUGAAACUAGUGUCUUUAGUUCUGGGUGUCCAAGUGUAUACUAGAUGGUUCUGGAGUAAAUUGCCUCAGAUUACACACUCAGAAAGCAAUAUUUGAGAAAACUAUGAGGGGUCAGUAUUGCCUCCAUACCAUUAUGUUGAGAUGGUUGAUCACCAGAGUAUCUUGGAACUAAUAGAAUUAUUAACUGAUCAAUAUUUGAAGGUCUAACAGGAAACACAACACACUAUUAUAAUGUUCUAAAAUGUUUAAAAAUGCUUAUCCAUAGGACACCACAAAAGAAGAAGCCUUGGCCUCUCUGACAGUUGGUGUCUUGACUGUUAUGAGUGAAGAUGGCCCAAGUUCUCUGCUCAUAUCCACAGCCAUUGUUCUUGAGGGAGGUAUUGCCAUGGAUAAUAUCAAGAACUUUCCUCAGGCAGUUUUCCUGUUGUUUGGGCUGACGUAUGCGUUACACUUGAACUAUCCAAAAUGCAUGGCAAACACUCUGAAAUUCAUCCAAAUGGUCAUGCUGGGUCUGCAAGGCAAAAGCCUCCCACCAAAACUGUUAACACUUAAGAACAGUCUGUUGGUAAACUAGCCGAAGACUUUGUUCUGCAAGUUGCACUUUUCUCUAAUAAAUGUUCUGUGAGAAACCAGAAGAGACUGACUGCCUGUUUCUAUAUACCAUUCAAAAGGUUUUAUUUUUGUGAAAAAAUGUACUUGCAUUUUAUAAGUAAAUAGUUUAUUUUUUCUGAAAUGAUGACUGUUUUGAGAAGAUGGCAUGAAACUUAACCAUAAGAAGGAUACAUCUCGUUAAAGCAUUUCAGGUCUACAUUGUGGUAUUAUGAUUUCCUUCGAAUUUUGUUUAUUUUACUUGCAGUACUUGCAGUACCUGAUUACUCAUACCUUAAGUCUGCAAUAUAUGUUUUAAGCACUUCAGCACUGGUUUUAAAUAAAUAUCUGGAGGUGCCUCAUGUUCAUAUUUGAUGUCAGAAUGGGAAAACCUGUGCAGCUAGUUAUUUAAACGUUUUGAAACUCGAUUUUGCAUUUCUAAAAUAAAUAUCAGCUGAAAUAACUCAA
Paramormyrops kingsleyae is the source of this 4305-nucleotide non-coding RNA. NCBI's taxonomy places the organism in Eukaryota, Metazoa, Chordata, Actinopteri, Osteoglossiformes, Mormyridae. The record is from RefSeq and is a predicted model, not a curated record.